RNAcentral lists this transfer RNA (71 nucleotides) under Marmota monax (woodchuck). It matches the Rfam family "tRNA". From Rfam's summary of the family: Transfer RNA (tRNA) molecules are approximately 80 nucleotides in length. Their secondary structure includes four short double-helical elements and three loops (D, anti-codon, and T loops). The record is from Rfam by way of RNAcentral. Lineage: Eukaryota; Metazoa; Chordata; Mammalia; Rodentia; Sciuridae.
GGGGUCGUGGCUCAGUGGUAGAGCACUUGCCUAGUGUGUGCAAAGCCCUGGGUUCGAUCCUCAGCACCUCA